CCUACGGGAGGCAGCAGUGGGGAAUCUUGGACAAUGGGCGCAAGCCUGAUCCAGCAAUGCCGCGUGAGUGAAGAAGGCCUUCGGGUUGUAAAGCUCUUUCGGCCGGAACGAAAUCGCGUACGUGAAUAACGUGCGUGGAUGACGGUACUGGAAGAAGAAGCACCGGCUAACUACGUGCCAGCAGCCGCGGUAAUACGUAGGGUGCGAGCGUUAAUCGGAAUUACUGGGCGUAAAGCGUGCGCAGGCGGUUCCGCAAGUCAGAUGUGAAAUCCCCGGGCUUAACCUGGGAACUGCGUUUGAAACUACGGAGCUAGAGUACGGCAGAGGGGGGUGGAAUUCCACGUGUAGCAGUGAAAUGCGUAGAUAUGUGGAGGAACACCGAUGGCGAAGGCAGCCCCCUGGGCCGAUACUGACGCUCAGGCACGAAAGCGUGGGGAGCAAACAGGAUUAGAUACCCUGGUAGUCCACGCCCUAAACUAUGUCAACUAGUUGUCGGGGAAGCAAUUCCUUGGUAACGAAGCUAACGCGUGAAGUUGACCGCCUGGGGAGUACGGUCGCAAGAUUAAAACUUAAAGGAAUUGACGG
This 585-nucleotide ribosomal RNA is filed under the name uncultured bacterium. RNAcentral describes it as "bacterial SSU rRNA". It matches the Rfam family "Bacterial small subunit ribosomal RNA", at positions 338 to 916 of the family's 1533-position model. The record is from RNAcentral.